RNAcentral lists this unclassified non-coding RNA (273 nucleotides) under Hevea brasiliensis (rubber tree). Lineage: Eukaryota; Viridiplantae; Streptophyta; Magnoliopsida; Malpighiales; Euphorbiaceae. The record is from RNAcentral.
GCCGCCGCCGCCGAUGAAAACCACGAAGCGCAGAGCAGCAGCAACAACGUCAAUUACUGGAUUAACCAUUGAUAAUUCAGUUCUUCCUAUAGAAUUAAUAUUUGAAAUACUCAUAAGAUUGCCUGUAAAAACAUUGCUGAAGAUGAGAUCUGUUUCAAAAUCCUGGAGUUCUCUCAUCUCAACUCCCGAAUUUGUCAAAGCACAUGUAAAAUUUUCAGCCAAUAAUCGAGAAUUUGCUCACCACAGGCUUCUUAGUGUCAGGUCAGGUACUCA